This 516-nucleotide ribosomal RNA is filed under the name uncultured microorganism. RNAcentral describes it as "bacterial SSU rRNA". It matches the Rfam family "Bacterial small subunit ribosomal RNA", at positions 9 to 521 of the family's 1533-position model. The record is from RNAcentral.
GAGUUUGAUCGUGGCUCAGAUUGAACGCUGGCGGCAGGCCUAACACAUGCAAGUCGAGCGGAUGAAGGGAGCUUGCUCCUGGAUUCAGCGGCGGACGGGUGAGUAAUGCCUAGGAAUCUGCCUGGUAGUGGGGAUAACGUCCGGAAACGGGCGCUAAUACCGCAUACGUCCUGAGGGAGAAAGUGGGGAGUCUUCGGACCUCACGCUAUCAGACGAGCCUAGGUCGGAUUAGCUAGUUGGUGGGGUAAAGGCCUACCAAGGCGACGAUCCGUAUCUGGUCUGAGAGGAUGAUCAGUCACACUGGAACUGAGACACGGUCCAGACUCCUACGGGAGGCAGCAGUGGGGAAUAUUGGACAAUGGGCGAAAGCCUGAUCCAGCCAUGCCGCGUGUGUGAAGAAGGUCUUCGGAUUGUAAAGCACUUUAAGUUGGGAGGAAGGGCAGUAAGUUAAUACCUUGCUGUUUUGACGUUACCAACAGAAUAAGCACCGGCUAACUUCGUGCCAGCCGCCGCUGU